GCUUCCCCCGGCAGAGUGGCCCUGGACAAGGUGGGCUGUUUGGCCAACAGCCCUAGAAAAGGAGCUCCGGGCGUCAAGAGAAGACGCUAACAAGAACAUGGAGGAGAACCAGUCUGGGUUCCUGAGAGGAACAUCCGUACCUGUCAGCAUACUGACAAGAGGGACAGAGACCUGAGCAUCAAGGGAAAAACUCGUCAGAGAGACAAGCAGAGGAGGAAGGCGAGACUGAGAAGAUGAAGAGCCAAUAAUAAGAUGUUGACUGUCCUUUUUUGCAAUGAUGACUGUCGCAGAUGGCUCCAUGAUGGAGUCAUGAUUACAUUGGACUUAUAUGCCUUACCCCACCUUGGGUUAAACCUGUAACUUGACCAC
Molecule: non-coding RNA, 369 nt
Organism: Phascolarctos cinereus (koala)
Lineage: Eukaryota; Metazoa; Chordata; Mammalia; Diprotodontia; Phascolarctidae
Source: RefSeq, a predicted model, not a curated record